Molecule: long non-coding RNA, 7394 nt
Organism: Sebastes umbrosus (honeycomb rockfish)
Lineage: Eukaryota; Metazoa; Chordata; Actinopteri; Perciformes; Sebastidae
Exons: 3
Source: RefSeq, a predicted model, not a curated record
UUGUUAUAGAACAACUCACAACAGUAGUAGUAGUAGGCUCAAUCCAACGACUCGCAGCAGCUCAAUGCUCUGCGCAUUCCGGAGAGAUUUAUUUCUAAGGAGCUGCUUCUCGGUCGUUCUCUAUAAUAACAAACUUCCUCAGGCAGCCGAGAGCCAUUUAUCUGCGCGUUUUUCCUGAUCGAGCUGACUGGAAGGCAGCAGCAGCAGCAGCAGCAACAGCAGCAGUAAUAAAGAGAGUCAAGGCUGGAAAAGACAAACCCAGAUGCUGCGUGGAGGAAAAAGAGGAAACCAGAUGAAUGAUGAUGAGUGAAUUUUUGAGAGAGAAAUCAGGGAGAAAGAAGGAAAGCGGUGAGUGCUCACUUAUGAUACAAACUCUUCCUUGUUUGGACGCAAAUAAAAGUGACAUUUCUUGGGACACUCUUGGCAUAUUUAGGUUUUGUAUUUUUUUUAAAUGAGGCUAAAUAUUAUUAUUGUCAGUGCAGUUCUGGAGUAUUCCUGCUGUCACAUUGCUGUUAGUGAUUUUUUUUGUAAGCGAUGAGAUGAUUUAGUGCUGAGGGCAGGCCGUGGUAGUGCGUAAUCUUGGACAGGUUGUAUUUGGUCCAAACCAAGGACAGGGCGCAGCUCUUGAUUAACUUGGACUCAGUUUUGUUAAAGAGCCGCUCGGCGCCAGUCGGCUGAUGCGACACAAUAAGAACAAUCUCUUGUCUCUUUCUUUAUAUUCACCCUGAAGUCGUGCAUGAUGUGCGAUGCCCCUCCGGCUCCACCAUCAACAGCCUCAUCUGCUCCACUUUUUUUCUGCCUCGGUCAUGACUCGGUGUCAGAUGUGAUUUUGUUUUUCUUUUUUUUUUUUUGGAUAAACAGCUGUUCUCUCCGGGCAAGAAAAGGAACCGUGUUUCGUGGGCCCACAGGCGACAAAAACUGAAACAAAAAGUGAUAAUCCUUCUGAAUGAGACUGUCAUGCGCAUUUCCUAUUAACCCCUUCAACUUGGCGCCUGUGCGUCUCUUCCGCUGUCAGGCAACACACAAAACUCUUUAAAAAAAAGUCUUGAAUAAUAUUUAUAAACUCCUUAUUAUUAAUAUAUUAAGUCCACCUAUUCCUUUCCUAAUCGGUCGCUAUGCAGGGCUGUAAAAACAAUCAAAUAAAGACAAAAAGGUGCAAAACAUGAUACAUUUGACUUCAGGACAUCUCUGACUACAUACAUGCUGAAAAGCAAACAUUUUUACGUAUUAAUUUAGAUAUUUUCCAAAGUGAAAGUACCUAGAAGUGUAUGAUUCAACUUUUUCCCAUUGUCUAGUGUUAAAAAAGUUAACAAAAAUCACAAUAAAUCGUAAUAUCGAUAUCAUUUUUUUAUCCUUAAAUGCGACUCCCCAAAAAAUGCAACUCCAGUUUUCAGGAGUCAGGACUUGUGUGUCAGAUGCAGCAUGCAUAAUAUGUGAUUUAUAGGAGCAUGCAAUGUUGGCACAUCCUGUUAUGUUACACACUUGUUGCUCGGCUUCCAUCAGAUUGCUACAGCCACGCGUAAAGAGAGUCAGCAGGCCAGACAGGAGCAGCUACAGCAACAACAGAGUUCACUAUAUACCUGAAUGAAGCCAAAACAGUUUCCAGGAAACACACAUCAGACCAGACACAUAAGUCCCAUAGAGCAUCAACUGUUUCACACAGUGGAGGCAUCAAUAGCAGAGUCAGACAAAAAAAAAAGUAUUUUCAGUCAGCCAGGUAGGUGGUGGAAAUAAGUGCCAGGGAGAUUUCACACGAGAAUCAGAAUCAGAAUCAGAAUGGUGUUUAUUGCCAGGUGUAAGAGGUAUACACUAGGAGCUUUGGUUUUGUUGGUGCAAGUUAAACAGUAUAAUAACAAAAGAAUAGAUAAAAACGUUAGAAUAAAAUAAGAAUAAAAAAAUAAAUAAUAGAAUAUAAAAUCAUCAAGCAUGUCUUGCACAUAUAUACCUCACAGUUUUCCUCAGAGUUAUAUAUUGUGGAGUGUGUAUCUGCUAUAAUCUGGCCGGACAGCUGACUUGUUUGUAACACUGCUCUUUCAGAUUUUAUGAAAUGGUUAGGUGGAGAUGUAGCAGUGGCGACAAGUUGGACAAGAGUUUUUGAAGCUGCAUGCACUGAGCUUCACUACAUGGGGAGAAAAAAAAAAACAGAUUAGCAACAUAUGGAGGUGGAUAACGGUUUUUCUGCCGGAAUACUCAACUGGAUAAUUGUAUAAACAAUUGCUUGUGCAAAUUAGUCACCAUUUAUUUGUUCUGUGCCGUCAACGGUACAGAAAUCACCAUUACGCGCGAUUUAAAAGUCAUUAAGUCGAGAGAAGGACUGCUCUGAGAUCUACAUGAGCACUGUGCUGAUGGCUUAACACAUUCUCUGUGUUGGGGAUUAAUGCAAGCAGACAGUGAAUUUGCUCCUUAGACUUGUUCUUUGGGAAUGUGAGGAAAAGCAAUCAUCAUGAAGGGUAAAAGAUGCGUAAAAUGGAGUGGAAACAUUUCUAAAACAGGAACAUAUUCAGAAGUCUUUGUACCCAAUUUUCUCCUAUUGGUAGUUUAGAUAAUUUAUGAUAUUGUCAAAAGAAAUGAGUAAAAACAGGCAAGUCUGGAUCUUAAAUUUGAGAUAUUUUAUGAAAAGAGUUGUCAGUCAUCAUGUGAGCUGGAGUUGUAUAGGCCUAUUUAAAAGUGCAUUAAAUGCUUGCAUCACGCUUUUCCAUACAGUAGGAAGUUGACCCAAGCUUUUUCUGUGUCCUUGAUCCGUCCGCUCAGUACAAUACAAUAUGCAGCUGCAGAUGUGAAAAUGAAAAUGUGCGUAAAAGGCGUCUUGAUGGUGAAGGUGAUUUGGCCCAUGUGUCAGCGAUCCGGCCCAAAGGCGCUCUAAUUACAACAUAACGGGGGCACUUUUUGCGCCAUAUUCGUCUAUAAUCGAGUAUUGUUAUUUUCUUCCUCCCCUUUCGACAUUGUUCCUUUCUUCCUUUUUAUCUCUCCAUCUUCUCCUCCCAUCUCCCUGCAUCAUCUCUCCGGCUAUAUUUAGCGGCUAGACUGAGGCCUUGGCGCCAGACCGUUUAAGACCUGUCAAAGUCCCUCAUAUUUCCCCUUGUCACAUGGAAACCCGGCGACCAGCGGCCCUCUCCUCCUCCUCCUCCUCCUCCUCCGCCUCCUCCUCCUUUUUUUCUUCUCCUUCUCCUCCCUCAUCCUCUUCGCACAGCUACCAGCAGCCCUCCUCCUCCUCCUCCUCCUCCUCCUCCUCUCCUCCUCUCCUUCUUCUCCUCCAGCUCCUCUACAGUUCACUCUGCUAAAUGAAACAUAUCAGUUCUCACUUGUAGGAAAGGCACAAUGUUUCCUCAACCACUCCCAACACACACGCACACACACACACUCUUAUCACACACAAACACACACACGCACACACACACACACACACACACUGAACCACUUGGUUGGAACAAUACCAUGACAGAGAAGAAGUGUUUUGGGACCAGACUAAUACCUGAUGCAUCCCAACUCUUCCAUAAAACAAACAUUUUUUUUUUUUUUUUUACUUACUGGACACGACUUCAUGACAAACUCAAUCAUAAACUACGACCACUCAUAUCCAGCUACCUUUCAGCCCCUAAAACCUGUUUGACCCUCCUAUUCUCACAGCCAUGUACAUCUGAACUGCAGCGCCUGCAGUGGUGUAUGGUGGCUGUGGUGGGUGCAUCUGUCUGACUGACAGGUAAACCACCAGGUGGGGGCGCUAUAGUGACCCAGGGGAGCCAGAGGAGAGUGACACAGAGCUGUCUGUCUGUCACAUCCACAACAGGCGUUACAGCAGACAUCCACUCGAUGCUCUAUAGACGCUACAGCAGCACAGUCUGAUCAGGUUUAAUCUCAUGUUUGGAUUUGAUUUAUUGUUUGACUCUUUAUUCUAUAUAUAUAUAUAUAUAUAUAUAUAUAUAUAUAUAUAAAUAUAUAUAUAUAUAUAUAUAUAUGUAUAUGAAAGAAAGAGAGAGAGAGAGAGAAUGUAUGAAAAUCGUUGCAAUGUAAAGAGUGUACUGCUAUAUAUAAGUUAUUGUGUUAAGGAGACUCGAGCACCCUUGGGUGGCCCUGAGUCCCACUUUUCUAGCCGCCGAUGAGAAGUAAAAACAGUUUGGCCACAGGUGACUGAAUGCAUGACGCACUGCAGAAUUGUGUGAUAGGUAUGUGCCAAACACGAUCACUGGAUGUGACGCGUGCUUCCAAUAUAUAUAUAUAUAUAUAUCACAAUGACAUUAACUACUGUCAUUACUGUCAGGGUUUUUUUUUUUUUUAUCAGCCUUAUCGAAAAAAAUCUCCUGUGUUGUCGGUUGCUGGUUGGAGGUGACCUUCCCGUUGUGCCUUUGAGCACAGAUAAGACCCCACACUUCCGUCAGGUGCCCUGUAUCGACACAAGAGGACUUGAUUUGAAAUCACCAAUAGAUUUAUUAAGAGUAUUUUUUAAAUUUUUUUUUUAGAUUUUGUGUAUCAAAUUUUAAUAAAAGAAAAAAAAAAAUGUGAUCCCAUUGAAUCAUCUUCUUAUAAAUCUCUGUCACGCAAAUAUCCUGUGUAGACUGAAAACGGCCGUUAUAAAUGCUGUUGGGAAAUUAUUUUGAAUUCUGCAAAAACAAAAAGGCCUCCGCACAAACGAGUCUGCUUAAAACACGAUUUUUUUUUAAAUUUUUAAUUUUUUUUGAAAAUAGAUUGUUGCAUUUUUUGUAUUCAACCACCUCUCUGUAAAUGAAUUUAUUUGAGAGAUAUUUUUCUGUACGGGAUUCACAAACAUCCUUAAUUUAAUCGAUCAAACCGAUCAGUUAAAAUCCUUCCUUUUAUUAGGUUUUUCUGUGUAUAUUUUGAACCUCAUGUGUACACCUGCGAGUUUAAAGUAACAUUUAAACGUAAACUGUUGUUUUAUCUGUGCCAAAGGAUGAAAGAGGAGGAUUAACGUUACACCUCCUGCAUGUUUUCAACUCGUUCUUAAUCAGGAAAACGUUUAAGCGUCGGCUUUUUAAUAUCAUGCAGCUGACAAUAUUUAUUACUAUUUCAUGUUCGUUGAGAUACUUUUUUUUUUUUUUUUUUAACAAGCAAAAUAAUCUUUUGUGUGCUUGCAGAUGUGUUGACAGCGUGGAGAAAUUGAAUUAGCAGCUGCAGCGCUGAGAACAUUGAAUCAUAUUAUAGGAGCGCAGCAGCAGAGAGGCAGAGAGGAAGCUACCUACCUGCAGCCUGCAGGCCGGAGGGAGACGCGUCUUACCUCCACAAACAACACGGAGGAGACACUACUACUACAUGUCAGACAACAUCAUGACAUCAAAUUUAACUUCCCAUCAGGAAAAAGUCUUAGUUUCGAUUUCAUAUAUCAUAUUUAGUGUUUGAUUCUUGUCAAAACCCCCCAGUAUAAUCGGUACAAUAACAUUUGUAAUUUUAAAAACACUCAUACUUGAAAUUACUCAAAGAUAGGCUAUGAAAAUAGUGAAGUUUCAACAAGCUUCAAAUUAGGUUGCGAUUAAAUAUGAUUGCAAAAUCCGAUCUAAUUAUUUAGUUACUUCAAGACGCAGAGGAACAUAAUCAAACAUCUGCAAGUGUUAUCAUGCAGUAAAUAAUGUGCAAAUGCAAAUAACCGUGCCUCCCUUAAAAUCAGAUCAUGUCGCACACUAUGAAUUAAUGACCUUAAAACUGAGUUUAGGUUUAAGUUUAUCCCUGCUUCCUCUUCAGUACAGGUAAGGGUUUUAUAAAUCACAUAAAACUAAAAAACAGCACUGACAUUGAUUCAUGUGUUUCUUGAAGGAUAAAUGUGGGGGGGAUGAGAUGAACCUGAAGCUGAUCCAGAAAAAAAAAAAAAAUCCUGCUCAUGUUCCUGAUUCAAAUCUUAUCUCCUUCCGACCUCCCAGCAGCCCGCUGAACUCCGAUCAGUGAGCACAUCUCCGGCUUUGUCUUGGACAUUUUACACUGUAUACAGGUCUUGACACACUUGAUGGGCCGACUGUGGUGGUGUUCAGUGUGAAGACGGUGAUGCUAAAACAUGCAGGAAUCAUCUAAGGUAGGUUCCCACACACAGUGAAUUUUGAGUGGCAGAGAAAAGUCAUUACUCAAAGUGCCUGGUAUAGUUGAGUCCUUGCAUUAGCUGCUCAUCUUCUUCUUUGUUUUUGUAAUUUUUUCAACCAAAAUGACCUUCGUUUUUGAAAUGUUUUCGGGCCGCUCAUUUACACAAAUUUCUCCAAAAGACUUUUUUUUUUUUAAAUAACCAUUUUUACAUAUUUACAAAAGAAAGAAAUUAAUAUACAGUAAAUGAUAAUCUCCUAGAAUUGUGUGUAUUUUAGCAGCAGCCACCUCUACAUCCAUCAGGAGACAGAUCUUUUACAUCUCAACUUCUAAAUCAACCAGGUGAUUUUUACUCCCACCCACGUCUGUGUGCGUUCUCUCUCUGGAUGCUGCUGGACUUCACAAUUCUCUUUGUUUAAGCACAUUUAUAAUAGUGAAUGAGUGACAAUAAGCUAUUAUAGCUAUUACUGCCUAUACAACCACCUGAUGUUGAGCAAUUUACCGUAAUCUAUACAAUGAAAUGCCCUAGAAUAUGGUCAAAUUGCACCCUAAUCUGGAAUGUAAAAAUGCAGUCAUAUUUAGAUGAAUUUCCUCUUGCAUGAUUUUCAUGGUUAAAGCUACAUGGUAAAUGAAUCUAUAGUCACAUGUUGAAGUGACAUGAAGUAUGGAUAUAUGAUACAAAGUUGUUAAAAAAAACGUUUUUUAAAACAGUCUUCGCUGCCCAAUGUUGUCACCUGUCAUAACCAAAUGUAAUUGGCUGACAUCUCACUGACAUCUCACAGUUUGGAUAAGAUGAGCAAGCAGCACAAUUACAUGCAUCAGCAUCCACUGGUGGCACUUUCUUUUAAAAAAACAAACAAAUGAGCGUAUUCCCUUAUAGAUUUAAAAGCACGAGGAGAUAUUUCUGCUGGUUGCUUUUGAGAAAUGAAGCUCUAGCAGGAGGUCUGGGAGGUUCUUCUAUUCAGUAAAGUCUCUAAAUAGGAAACAAUGGAUGAUGGAUGGUACCAUGUGGGCUGCACUUGAAACUAGAGAUUGCUACCUGGUCACGCUACAUUAACUUGAUGAUAACUUUGAAACGUACAAACACAAUAUUUAUUAUAAUUAAAGUACCAGUCUUAUUGGCAGGCUGCUGGACCUGCUGGCAUUUAACAAUGCUAAGGCUAAACUGUUGACAUGGAGCCCACCAUUGUUUAGCAUAGUAGGAUAAAUGUGAAUGGAGCCUACUAUCAUUCAACCAUGCUAAGCUGCUAUAGCAUCACAGUGUAGGCCAGGGGUCAGCAACCUUUACUAUCAAAAGAGCCAUUUUAGGCAAAACAUUUUAGUUGUAAUGUUAUGAGAAUAAAGUCAUAACUUUACGAGAAAAAGAGUCAUAAUGU